Molecule: ribosomal RNA, 465 nt
Filed under: uncultured bacterium
Lineage: Bacteria
Description: partial 16S ribosomal RNA
Rfam family: Bacterial small subunit ribosomal RNA
Source: RNAcentral
GACGAACGCUGGCGGCGUGCUUAACACAUGCAAGUCGAACGGAAAGGCCCUGCUUGCAGGGUACUCGAGUGUCGAACGGGUGAGUAACACGUGGGUGAUCUGCCCUGCACUUCGGGGUAAGCCUGGGAAACUGGGUCUAAUACCGGAUAUGAGCCAUCCUGAGUGUGAUGGUUGGAAAGUUUUUUCGGUGUAGGAUGAGCUCGCGGCCUAUCAGCUUGUUGGUGGGGUAAUGGCCUACCAACGCGGGGGCGGGUAGCCAGCCUGGGUGGGUGGACGGCCACAAUGGGACUGGGGAUCGGGCCAGAAUCCUAAGGGGGGCAGCAGGGGGGGAUAUUGGACAAUGGGGGGAAGGCUGAUGCAGCGACGCCGGGUGGGGGGUGGAGGGCUUCGGGUUGUAAACCCGUUUCGGUAGGGACGAAGCUGUGUGUGACGGUACCUGGAUAAGAAGCACCGGCUAACUACGUG